CAGCAGCAGCCGCGGUAAUACAGAGGGUGCGAGCGUUAAUCGGAUUUACUGGGCGUAAAGCGUGCGUAGGCGGCUUUUUAAGUCGGAUGUGAAAUCCCUGAGCUUAACUUAGGAAUUGCAUUCGAUACUGGGAAGCUAGAGUAUGGGAGAGGAUGGUAGAAUUCCAGGUGUAGCGGUGAAAUGCGUAGAGAUCUGGAGGAAUACCGAUGGCGAAGGCAGCCAUCUGGCCUAAUACUGACGCUGAGGUACGAAAGCAUGGGGAGCAAACAGGAUUAGAUACCCCAGUAGUCCCUGUCUCUUAUAC
This 304-nucleotide ribosomal RNA is filed under the name uncultured bacterium. Its description in RNAcentral is "partial 16S ribosomal RNA". It matches the Rfam family "Bacterial small subunit ribosomal RNA", at positions 506 to 807 of the family's 1533-position model. The record is from RNAcentral.